Molecule: long non-coding RNA, 3010 nt
Organism: Symphalangus syndactylus (siamang)
Lineage: Eukaryota; Metazoa; Chordata; Mammalia; Primates; Hylobatidae
Source: RefSeq, a predicted model, not a curated record
AAAAAGCACUCUGAGAACUUGAAAAAGCCCCUCUCCAUCAAAGAGGUGAUUAUAUAGUUUGUUAUUGAAUUUUGACAUUCAAAAUACAUUUCCCCCUCUUUUCCUCUUCACCAGAUUUGCAUUGACCUUUCCUGUAUGUUCUCUGUGAAGGGCGUGCUGAGCACUUGGAAUGUUCCUGAGAAUUAAAGGCAAAACUCACAAGGCCUGGCAGCUAAGAAUCUGGCUAUAAUGAGGGUCUAUCUACGCCACAGGACAUGUGUUCUAGAAAUUGCUCUUACUUAGAAUAAAAGUCAGCUAUCUAGACCGGGGAAGCUCUGGCAUAGCUGAGUCUUCUGGGGAAAGCCUGCAUGUUCUCUGGCAAGCUCUGGGCUUGGCCCUUAUGUGGCCAUCAGGGGCCCAGCCUUCUUUCAGUGGCACUGCUCUGCUAGGCUUCUGUAAGGUCCCACCGAGAAGGAGAAAACAAGGAGGAUCUAAACUUCUCUCUUCUCUCCAGCCCCUCCCCCCACAGCACCUGGGCCCAGCACCUGGGACACCUCCCGGGCUCGGGGCCUCAAGAAGGCUUUGCCAGGAGCUCUGACCUGAGGCCUAACCCUGAGGCUGGCCCUGCCUGUGCUCUAGGGGAUGGAAUGGUGGUCUCCUCCCCGUCACACCUCCAAGAGGCCAGGCCAGGAAGGGACUGGGAAGAAGAGGACCACCGAACCUUGAGAAACAUGCCCAGCCUGGCUGCCGUCUCCCAGGAACAUCAGAGAAGAAAGAGAAGCUUUUGGAGGGUCCUGGAUGAAGAUGCGCCCAAAAUAGGCAUGUCCUCAAGGAUUUAACAUCCAAACCCCAGCCCAGAGGUUACUGUGAGAUUUUCACUUCUGCAGACAUCAGCAAGGCGCAAUGGAAAGAACGCAGGGCAAAGAAGCUGAUUUCCAGGGUCCACGUAUAACCCAGUCAAAUGGAUUCCAAUCCAAGGCCAAGGUCAGCCUAGAGACAACCGACUGUCUACUUCUUCAUGUGCAGUGAGGGCAAGGUCCCAACUGCAGUGGGGCCAGCCCAGGCAGUGACUAAAUAGAGAUACCAUCAGCUUGUCUCAGCAUCCUUUGUGUCUGAAGAACUAUCAGCAGGCAAUAGAGCCCUUCCAGUGGUCCUCACAGCCUUCCAAAUGGAGCCCAACCUUAAUGCAGCAUGGAAGCUUUCCACGUGUCGUCCCCGCCCGCAGCUCUGACUUCCUGGGCUGCAAUGCACCCUCUGUGCCCCAUACCCGACCUGGGCUGCCAGCCCACACCCAGCCACAGCAGGGGCUCCCUCUCCUGUGUCCUCUCCUAAGCCUACUCCCAUCUGGUGCCUCCUCCUCAUUUUCAGCUUUGCAGACCCAGUUGAGAGCAGGGUGAAGCCAUCAGCCUAAAUCACCCAGCCAACAUUCUCUAAGGCAGCAGGGAAUGGUGAACCUAGACCAGCAGCAGCAGCUCUGGGAAUGCUUUAGAAAUGCAAAUUCUCAGGCCUCACCCUAGACCUCAUGAAUAGAAAAUAAAUCCCAACAUAGGCAAAAGCUGGAGAUCCACGGCCCCAGAGCAAAGGCGCCUCUGAGAAGUCCCUGAGCCCACCCUUCCCCACGAGGCCGGGCUGGCACAGCACCGGUGACUGUCCCUGCACGUGCACUCUGUGGGCACAGGCGCCUCCCUCAUCUCUGGCCCUCGGGGCCCUACAGGGCACCUGGAAGUCUGGUCCUACUGAACCAGUGCACAAACCAAUCUCCAGCAAUGACAAAACACCAGCCGGUCCAAUAGGAAAAAAGCAAAUGUUCUCAAGCCAUAAUACUGUAUUUGUAGCUAAACAUGUUUCAGCUUGAAUUCUUGAGUGUGAAAGAGCUGUUUCCCCAUUCGAUUUUGCCUUAUUUCCACUGAAAGGUUUCCUGGGACAGUGUCAAGCUCCUUUGUUGGAGUGAACAUUCUUAAAGAGGUGGCAUUCCCUCUCCAAGCUGUUAGAUGAAGCCAGCUAACUCUCCAACAGGAAUUCCGACUGCUGGGUGCUUCCCGGCACCUGAAACUUCCAGCUUGCCGGCUUUUCCGAUUCUAAGGGUUGGCCCAGGGACACUGUCAUUGUCAUCAUUUAGUUCUCUCUGUGGCAAAUGAUUAUGUAUCAGAAAGAGCAGACGGGGGCUGCCCCUGAGAUGACCCACAUCAAGGCACCAGCCAGCAUUCUAAGCACCAGAGGUUGACCUGUGGCACUCUCCCCAAGCCCCUACUUGGUAAGAGCAAAGCUCCACUGAACCCUUCUGGACACAAAGGGUUUUUACACAGCAGCCCAGAGUUCUGCCUGACUGAGUUGAAUAUGACGGUGAAAUCCUUUGGCAUGCUAGUAAAGAGAGGAACCAUCUACAAAGGAGCUGUCAGGAGGGCAUCUCUCAGAGCAAGAAACCAAGCUGGGCUCAGUGCUCCAGCCUGCCAAGCAGCCCCCGAGCAACAGCACAGCUGACGGUAGAUGCUCCAAGGGUCUCUAAUUACUCAACCCAUUUCCACCUGGAGGGGCUCCAGCGCUUGGCUGGGGCAGACAUCCCACAGCCUCAGCAUCCUGACCCACUGUGGCUAAACGAGCUGGGCGCAAGGCAGGCGCACACCCCAGACUGUCUUUGUUCAAGGAGACCUCAGGAGCGCUGGUGCACACACAGGUCUUCCAGCCCGAGAUUACUCUGGUCCAUCUAGCACAGCAGUUCUCAAAGCGAGGUCUAGGGAUCCUGGCAGUCUCAGGGAACCUCGUAGGGGGUCAGUGAGACCAAAACUAUUUUCCUAGUCAUACUAAGACCUUAAUGACCUUUCUCUCUCUCUCGCAGCCACCUUCCAGCCAGAUGCUAAAUUUGUAAAAAUGUAAAAACAAUGCCACAUUUCUCCCCAAUUUUUUUUUUGUUUUGGAAAAUAUAGUGAUUGUUAAUAAAAGUAUGUUCUGUUAUUUAUGGUAACGUGUAAUGAGCUGCUUGAUGUUAUUUUUAAAUGAAGUAAUAAAUAUGUAAACCUCUUUUCACCUGCAA